This 831-nucleotide long non-coding RNA is filed under the name Olea europaea (common olive). Its description in RNAcentral is "long non-coding RNA (OEUR_LNC004798)". The record is from RNAcentral. Lineage: Eukaryota; Viridiplantae; Streptophyta; Magnoliopsida; Lamiales; Oleaceae.
UCAUUACCGGUGACGAUGAUCGGAACACGUGGGUUCUCCUCCUUGUUGUACAUACCAGGGAGUUGCACGUUGGUCGGGUUAUCGGCAAUGUUCAUUAGUGUGGCAUUAACCAUCUGGUUGUUGACGGUGUAUUGGGUGGUGCCUCCCAUUCGACCAGCGCCAGCAUCGAGAUCGUUAAUGAAGAGGCAGCACAUUUUCCCCUUCUUGAUAAUAUCAGCUGCUUCACGGUACCUUUGCCUAAUGAGCUUAGCAGGCUCUCCUGCAUUUCCACUUUCCAAUUCUCCAGCACUCAUCAUAAUUGGGCUGUAUCAUAGCCAUUAAUUUUAAGAUUAAAACCUGAUUAAUGUAAAUUUGGAACAUGAUCAAUCAUGGAAUAUGAACUCACUUAAUUCCCAUCUUAGCAAAGACAAGCUCACACUGGAAUGAUUUACCCUGACCUUUGCCUCCCCAAAUACCCAAGAUAAGAGGAACCUGUAAAACAAAGGGUUCCAUUAAGUAAGAUGGACUGUACAGUACUGAUUAGUUAUAAUGAAUGACAAGUAAUUGUCGAGUCUUGUCUUGUCUGAUACUGGGUAAUGAACAUGGUCGUAAGAUGAACAAAAUAAUUGCCUUAAGUCGAGUUUUCUUAUAACAAUGGAUUUAAUGAAGGAUAUGUAACCUUGAUGUUCGGCAAGGUCAUAAAGUUUUUGCUGAUGUGAACAAUAAGCUUGUCCAUGAAGGCAGGAGCAAUAUAUAAUCCAUCCAUGGUAUUAUCAAAGUUGUAUCUGCAGCAUCAAUAACAUCGGAUUAUGAUCAAAUUCAAGAACUGAUAAAUUUUGAAGAAGAUUUGAA